UGUUUCAGUCAUGGUUUCUAC
This 21-nucleotide microRNA is filed under the name Physcomitrium patens. RNAcentral's name for it is "ppt-miR1075". Lineage: Eukaryota; Viridiplantae; Streptophyta; Bryopsida; Funariales; Funariaceae. The record is from miRBase by way of RNAcentral.